UUGCCUAAAGGAAAAACCACCUCAAAAUACUUUUUCUCAUUCCUACAAUUAGUAUUCUAAAGAAAAUUCCUAACGGAAAUAUAAAACACAAUAUUUUAAUUUUUGUUUUGGAUUUUGAUUCAUUACACACCAUUUCAAAUGCAAAAUAGAAAGUACAAUAAUAAUAAUAAAGCACGACGACAUUACUAUACAAAACUAAAAGGUAAAAGACGAUAUAAAAUAAAAAAAACAGACUCAAAACAUAAAAAGAAAAGAAAAUCUUCUUUUAAUCCACUCCCAAAUGAGCGAUCCUGACUAGAUGUCCUGGGGCUCUGUCAUGCUCAAACUCCGAUAAGUAAAUCCACGUCUGUAUGAGAAAAUUUAAACCAAAUAGGUUAAAUACCUAGAGCGCUAUGUGAGACAAUAACCCUUCCUACUGGAAAUAUGCAAGACAUGACUUAGGCUAUUUUUGCAAAAUGACAUAUUUGGCUAAAAGACGGCUAGAAGUGCAAAAUUUUGGCUAAGACCCCGCAAAGCCAAGAACCUAAGAUUUACUAGGAAGACCAGACCCUAUGUGGGUUUCCUACGUAUCACGCCCCAAAAGACGAGAAUCAGGUAUGCGUAGUUCAGGCAGAUUGGAUACGGGCGAGAAUUAAAAAAAACAACUAAUUUAGAGAAAACAUAUUUUUUGUCUUCUUUUUUUAUAAAAGAAAAAUGAUGAGACAAGUAGCUAACAGUGCUAAAUUAUGCUCUCAAGGAGAAAAACUGAUCUAAGAAACCAUGGAAACAGACAGUGGCAUGUAACUCCUUAAACAUCCGGAUAAUUUGUCUUUCACUUGGCAAUCUAAAAAAAUCGAACGAUCUUCACAAUUUGGUUACAUAUAAAAAUCAGUUGAAGGAAAGCAAAUUAACAAUGCUGAAAAUCCCAUUUCUCUAAAAAUUAUGAAGUAUCAAACUCUGUCUCAUCCUUAAGAUCGACUCGGAAUAGUAUUUGCCAAAAACGAAGAUUUUAUAUAUAACUUCCUAAUAACUUUUGAAUUAACAUGAAGCAGAAUCUUAACAUUAAAGGGUCGGGAUAUGAAGACAGCUCAAACAGCAAAAUCCAGUUAGAUAGGUAAUCUGCCACGACAAACUUGAAUUAACCUUUCGAACACUGUUAGCAUUUACAAUAUUUCGAAAUCAGGCAACUCAUUCAACGUUGUUCACAAAUGAAAUCAGAAAAGUGGCAAAUCAAUGAACUUCUCAUUGAAACAGAUCUUACUAUAGCUUGAAAGAGAACGUACCUAAUUAUGCAAGGACGAGAUUUAGAAGACAAAGAAGCCAAAUAACGAUUGAAACAAAAAAUUGGAGCUCAGCUAGCAAUGUGGGAGCAACAACAACCAAACAACUCCCCUUUCCGAGUUAUAUCCAAACCCAAAACCCAGCUAAGCACUCCAAUUUCGAGCUUUUCGAGUGAUGAAAAAGUUCUUUGAAGGCUCAGCUCUCCAAUUGAAUUUUUAAGCUACUUUCAAUUCUCAACAGCUUUUCGUUACUGUAUUUUUUGAGAGAAGUGUAGUGUAAUAUGAUGAGAGAUUUUUGUGCUCGAGAGAAAAGCAAAAGAAGCGGCUGAGUUUUUCGUUUUGAUGAAGAAGAAGAUCAAGAUCCAAAGGAGUCCUUCUGCGUCGUUCUUCUAUAUGCGUCCCUCUCUCAUUUGUUUUAGCUCCC
This 1683-nucleotide long non-coding RNA is filed under the name Nicotiana tabacum (common tobacco). RNAcentral's name for it is "long non-coding RNA (NTAB_LNC003169)". The record is from RNAcentral. Lineage: Eukaryota; Viridiplantae; Streptophyta; Magnoliopsida; Solanales; Solanaceae.